GGCGAGGGCUCCUCCGGCCUGAUGUAAUGAGGAAGCAGAAGCUCAGAGAAGUCAGCAUGGGCGGUGGUCAAUGAGUCUGGACACAGGCUAAAGGGCCCUCUGGAGAUGAAGACUCCAAAUGUGUCCUCAGGUCUCUUGCCUGGGCGUAAAGAACAGGACCUAAAGGCACCACCUGAGGUAGCAAGGUAUGGCUCCCAAAGACUUCUGGGGGUUCUGAGAUCAUCAGUGAGGCCUCUAAGGCCUGCCUGGCCCAUAGCUCCAGCCACACCCAUGGCCACUGCCCACAAUCCAACCAUAUGCUCUUUCUCCUCUGCAUUGCCCCCAGGCCUUCCAGCAUGUUUUGCCUUCUGCCUGGGACACUCUUCCUACCCUCCUCCCCGCAGUGCCCUUCGCUGAUCUAUCUCCUACUAGACCUUUAGACUCUUGCUUACAUGCCACCUCCUCCAGGAAGCCCUCCCUAACCACCAUGCCACAACCUGUGCAAUCACCACCAAGAAUAAGAUCAGCCCAGUGGCCACGGCAGAGUGGAGCAGUGUCAGGGAGGAAUGUCAGGCAACUGGGUGCAGACAAAGAUGGUCUAGCAUCGGGAUCCAUGUGCACGCAGUGCCACAACCUAGGCUGCGGACACCCAGGAAGGAGGACAACAUCUGCUCUCAGGACAGAGUGAGGUUUCAGCAGGAGACUAUCUUUAUGUCAUCUGGAUAGGGAAGGGCCUCUUAAAUGUGACAGGAAAUAGAGCUAUGUGUCUAAAAGAUGAAUAAAUUUGACAACAAUACAAUACAGAAUUACUGUGAAUUAAGACAAAUCACUCAAAGAUGAUACUUAACCUACUUACAAAAGAAAGGGCUCAAUCUUAAAAACAGGCAAAAAAAAUAAUAACUUUAAACAGGUGUUUCAUAAGCGAGCAAACAAAAAUAAUGUAUAAAUAUAUGAAAAGAUGCUCAACCUCCCUCACCUUUUAUCAUGGCAACAUAAAUUAAAAUCAGAGUAAGACACCAUUCCACAUGAAAAUCUUAAAAGUAAAAACAAUACCAGGUGUUGGUGAGGUUGGGGAGUUUCGAGAACUCUUGUACACUGCAGACAGCAGUCAAAAUAGGUAGUAAUGUUUUGGAAAACAGUUUGGAAUAAACUAAUAAAGUGAAACAUGCAAAGACCCAACAGUCCAGCAAUUCUGCUCCUUGAGAGAGACCCUCAAAAACUUCUUGCACACAAACACAGAAAGCAAGAAUCUUCUUAUCAGCAUCAUUUGUAAUAGCAAAAACCUGGGAACAACUCAAAUGCCCACAGUGACAAAAUGGAUAAUAAAUCAGGUGAUGACUUUGCAGGAAUAAAAAUGAUUGAAUACUCCCACCGGCAUCAAAUGAACAGAUCUCAAAGACCUAACGUUGAAUGAAAAAAACCAUCACCAAGGUGUACAGAAGUGUAUCUCCACAUAUUUAAGGUUCACCAAGAGGCCAAGCCAAGCAAUAGGUAUGUUAGGAUCCAUACUUGUAUGAUAAACUGUAAAGAAAAGCAAGAACU
Camelus dromedarius (Arabian camel) is the source of this 1521-nucleotide long non-coding RNA. RefSeq lists it as uncharacterized. Lineage: Eukaryota; Metazoa; Chordata; Mammalia; Artiodactyla; Camelidae. The record is from RefSeq and is a predicted model, not a curated record. The transcript has 3 exons.